This 415-nucleotide ribosomal RNA is filed under the name uncultured bacterium. RNAcentral describes it as "bacterial SSU rRNA". It matches the Rfam family "Bacterial small subunit ribosomal RNA", at positions 88 to 499 of the family's 1533-position model. The record is from RNAcentral.
GUGGCGAGUGGCGAACGGGUGAGUAAUACAUCGGAACGUACCCAGAAGUGGGGGAUAACGUAGCGAAAGUUGCGCUAAUACCGCAUACGUUCUACGGAAGAAAGUGGGGGAUCGCAAGACCUCAUGCUUUUGGAGCGGCCGAUGUCUGAUUAGCUAGUUGGUGAGGUAAAGGCUCACCAAGGCGACGAUCAGUAGCUGGUCUGAGAGGACGACCAGCCACACUGGAACUGAGACACGGUCCAGACUCCUACGGGAGGCAGCAGUGGGGAAUUUUGGACAAUGGGCGCAAGCCUGAUCCAGCAAUGCCGCGUGAGUGAAGAAGGCCUUCGGGUUGUAAAGCUCUUUUGUCAGGGAAGAAACGGCAGGGGCUAAUAUCCUUUGCUAAUGACGGUACCUGAAGAAUAAGCACCGGCUA